Molecule: transfer RNA, 90 nt
Filed under: Clostridium sp.
Lineage: Bacteria; Bacillati; Bacillota; Clostridia; Eubacteriales; Clostridiaceae
Description: tRNA-Ser
Rfam family: tRNA
About the family: Transfer RNA (tRNA) molecules are approximately 80 nucleotides in length. Their secondary structure includes four short double-helical elements and three loops (D, anti-codon, and T loops). Further hydrogen bonds mediate the characteristic L-shaped molecular structure. tRNAs have two regions of fundamental functional importance: the anti-codon, which is responsible for specific mRNA codon recognition, and the 3' end, to which the tRNAs corresponding amino acid is attached (by aminoacyl-tRNA synthetases). tRNAs cope with the degeneracy of the genetic code in two manners: having more than one tRNA (with a specific anti-codon) for a particular amino acid; and 'wobble' base-pairing, i.e. permitting non-standard base-pairing at the 3rd anti-codon position.
Source: RNAcentral
GCAGCGUUGCCAGAGUGGUAAUGGGCCCGCUUGGAAAGCGGAAGCCGGGUUGAGAAACCUGCGAAGGUUCGAUCCCUUCACGCUGCGCCA